Molecule: small nuclear RNA, 163 nt
Filed under: Penaeus monodon (black tiger shrimp)
Lineage: Eukaryota; Metazoa; Arthropoda; Malacostraca; Decapoda; Penaeidae
Description: U1 spliceosomal RNA
Rfam family: U1 spliceosomal RNA
About the family: U1 is a small nuclear RNA (snRNA) component of the spliceosome (involved in pre-mRNA splicing). Its 5' end forms complementary base pairs with the 5' splice junction, thus defining the 5' donor site of an intron.
Source: RNAcentral
AUACUACCUGGCACAGGAGAUACCGUGAUCACGAAGGCGGUUCUCCCAGGGCGAGGUCACCAUUGCACUCCGGGGGGUGCUGCCCCCUGCGAUUAACCCAAAUGUGGUUAACUCGAGUUGCGCAAUUUUUGUUAGUGGGGGACUGCGUUCGCGCUACCCCCCU